GGUAGUGUGGCUGAGUGGUCUAAGGUGCUAGAUUUAGGCUCCAGUCUCUUUGGAGGUGUGGGUUCAAAUCCUGCCACUGAUUU
Ataeniobius toweri is the source of this 83-nucleotide non-coding RNA. The record is from the annotation of a GenBank genome assembly. NCBI's taxonomy places the organism in Eukaryota, Metazoa, Chordata, Actinopteri, Cyprinodontiformes, Goodeidae.